RNAcentral lists this ribosomal RNA (585 nucleotides) under Willkommlangea reticulata. RNAcentral's name for it is "partial small subunit ribosomal RNA". It matches the Rfam family "Bacterial small subunit ribosomal RNA", at positions 570 to 930 of the family's 1533-position model. The record is from RNAcentral. Lineage: Eukaryota; Evosea; Eumycetozoa; Physariida; Physaraceae.
CGUCGGCGGAUAGUUAAAAAUACAGUUAAAGACUGAGGAAAACCCUCUUUACUCUGUAUUCACUGAUUAUCUGAGUUCUCGAGGCGGUUUAUUGAAUUCUUGAAGCAGGGGUGAAAUUGUUGAUAUUGGAAGACAUUCGAAAGCGAAAGCAUUAACCGAUCUAGAUCUAACGCUAGGUACUAAAGUAUGGGUAUAAAGAGGAUUAGAGACCUCGUAGUCCAUACCUUAAACAAUGAGUGUUCAACAUCUUUCGGCUGCUGCUUAUGACCACCAAGCCAAAUUAAAUUUCCUCAUGCUUUGCCCUUAGGGGGGUUUCAGUACCGCGAGAGGUUUUGGGUAUUUCUUAUUUGUUGAGAAGCCAAAUUAAACAACCCCAUGCUUUACCAUCAGGGGGUUUUAGUACCGCAAGGGGUUUUGGAUAUUUUCUUAUGUUUGAGAAAUUUUGGUUAAUUAUGUUACCCUAAUGGGAACGGUUCUUAAUAAGUAAGGCAGUUGUCUGAGGUUUAAAGCUAACGCGUGAAACACCGCCUGGGGAAUGUGGCCGCAAGGUUAAACUCAAAGGAAUUGACGGAGGCUUAUACAAGG